AACGAACGCUGGCGGCGCGCCUAAUACAUGCAAGUCGAGCGAGAAGACGUAGCAAUACGUUUGUAAAGCGGCGAACGGGUGAGGAAUACAUGGGUAACCUACCCUCGAGUGGGGAAUAACUAGCCGAAAGGUUAGCUAAUACCGCGUACGCUCCUUGGACUUCGGUUCAGGGAGGAAAGCGAUACCGUGGGUAUCGCGCUCUUGGAUGGGCUCAUGUCCUAUCAGCUUGUUGGUGAGGUAACGGCUCACCAAGGCUUCGACGGGUAGCUGGUCUGAGAGGACGAUCAGCCACACUGGCACUGCGACACGGGCCAGACUCCUACGGGAGGCAGCAGUAAGGAAUAUUGCGCAAUGGGCGAAAGCCUGACGCAGCGACGCCGCGU
RNAcentral lists this ribosomal RNA (383 nucleotides) under uncultured bacterium. RNAcentral describes it as "bacterial SSU rRNA". It matches the Rfam family "Bacterial small subunit ribosomal RNA", at positions 29 to 402 of the family's 1533-position model. The record is from RNAcentral.